Long non-coding RNA from Trifolium pratense (red clover), 1436 nucleotides. RefSeq lists it as uncharacterized. The record is from RefSeq and is a predicted model, not a curated record. The transcript is spliced from 9 exons. Lineage: Eukaryota; Viridiplantae; Streptophyta; Magnoliopsida; Fabales; Fabaceae.
AAUUUGUAUUCUUUGUACAUCAAGCUUUCUUCUAACUUUUAAUCUGACAGGUCUCCACCUGUAAAAGUAGGUGCCUGCAGGGCAUUUGCUCAACUUCUACCUAAAGCAAAGAAAGUAAUUGUCCAACCACAGUUAUUCGGUUUAUUUUCAUCCCUCACGGAUCUUCUUAAUCAUGCAUCAUAUGGUUUCCUUGCAUACGGUACUUGAAACGUUGCAAGAAGCCGUAAAUGCAGGUUAGGAAUAUCUUUCUCUGGUGUGUGUGUCUGUAUUUCUGGUCUAGUUAUACUUCCACACAUAUAUGUUAAUGUUAAAUAUUUCUAUGGAAAUUACUAAUUUACUCUUCUAUCCCCACACAAUUGACUUUAUUUUUUUUUUCUUUUUUGUGAUACAAAUAACUGUUUGGUUCAAAUGCUCACUGAGAAAUUUCGCAUUUUCAUUCAAUAACCAAGAGGCUGUUUUUUCUCAAUCUAAACCUAUUGCUACAUCAGUAAAGGAUGGUUUUAAUGUCUGUAUAUUUGCUUAUGGGCAAACUGGAACUAGUAAAACAUUUACAAUGGAGGGAACACCAGAAGAGAGGGGAGUUAAUUACCGAACACUUGAAGAAUUGUUUAGGAUAUCCGAAGAGAGAAAGGGUGUAAUGAAGUAUGACUUACAUGUUAGUAUGUUGGAGGUUUACAAUGAGAAGAUAAGAGAUCUUCUAGUGGAAAACUCUACCCAGCCUACUAAGAAAUUAGCUGAAGCACUUGAUAUGCAGCCUCCUGUAAUUCUGGAGGAUGGCCACACAACAAGGGUAACUAGUGGUGAGGAGGCUGUUUCUUCUGCUGCCGGGUAAGAUUCUGUUGUUGAACCCAUAUGGGAUGAUGAAGACACAAGGGCUUUUAAUGAAUGUUUACCGGAUCUUAGAUGGAACUUUAUCCUGCUUGCUUUUCUCCAGAGCUUUUGUUCCUGCCGUGCUUUUGAGCAACCUGUGAAGGGUCAAGACCAUAUAAGUUCAUAUAGCUGCUGAUUACCUAGUUGACGAAGCUACAAAUAUGCAGAUUAUAUAGGUUUGCUAUGCCGCAUAGCUCAAGGUUGCAGGUACUGUGCUUUCGGAUCAUCAAUCAUCUAUCCUUGUGAAGAUUAAAGAUGACAUGCAUCUGUCAAGCCCAUCACACCAUUGGAGCAAUGUGAAUGGCUGAAUAAAUCGUUGACAGAAAUCUGGCCCAACUAUUUUAACCCCAUGCUUUCAUCAAGGUUAUCAUCUAUAGUUGAGUCACAUUUAAAGCUCCGGAGACAACGAUUUCUUGGUCUAGCAAUUAUUGCCUUCAAUGAUGGAAAAUUUAAUGCCAAGACCUUGUGAGAGGUUCUUAGUCUUGGACCACACAUAUAGGCACACAAGAACAUAUAGGCAUAUAAGUCAAGAACAAUUUCAUAUGUGGGUGAGUGGAUAGUGUUGC